CCUACGGGUGGCAGCAGUGGGGAAUAUUGGGCAAUGGGCGCAAGCCUGACCCGGCACCGCCGCGUGAAGGAAGAAGGCUUUCGGGUUGUAAACCUCUUUUAAGGGGGAAGAGCAGAAGACGGUACCCCUUGAAUAAGCCACGGCUAACUACGUGCCAGCAGCCGCGGGAAUACGUAGGUGGCAAGCGUUGUCCGGAUUUACUGGGUGUAAAGGGCGUGCAGCCGGAGGGACAAGUCAGAUGUGAAAUCCACGGGCUCAACCCGGGAACUGCUUUUGAAACUGUUUCCCUUGAGUGUCGGAGAGGUAAUCGGAAUUCCUUGUGUAGCGGUGAAAUGCGUAGAUAUAAGGAAGAACACCAGUGGCGAAGGCGGAUUACUGGACGAUAACUGACGGUGAGGCGCGAAAGCGUGGGGAGCAAACAGGAUUAGAUACCCUAGUAGUC
Molecule: ribosomal RNA, 442 nt
Filed under: uncultured bacterium
Lineage: Bacteria
Description: partial 16S ribosomal RNA
Rfam family: Bacterial small subunit ribosomal RNA
Source: RNAcentral